AGAGUAAGUCAGCCUAAUCCAGCCCAUCACAGUGCAUAACGCUGGAGCGGAGGAACCAAAUUGUGGGGCGUAUCUGGAAGAAAGUUAAGAGUUAGGAGUUAUGAGUUAUGAAUUAUGAGUUAUGAGUUAGGAGUUUUUAAUUAACUCUUCACUCCUCACUCAUAACUCCCAAUCCCUCACUCCCAACUCAGAACUUUCUUCAGAGGGGCAUCUCUCAGCCCUAGCCCGUCAGCUAACUUCGUAGGCAUUGAGAGGAGACUGA
This 262-nucleotide small RNA is filed under the name Nostoc calcicola. RNAcentral describes it as "c-di-AMP sequence". It matches the Rfam family "c-di-AMP riboswitch aptamer (ydaO/yuaA leader)". Rfam says of the family: This family represents a conserved RNA structure found upstream of the ydaO and yuaA genes in Bacillus subtilis and related genes in other bacteria. Lineage: Bacteria; Bacillati; Cyanobacteriota; Cyanophyceae; Nostocales; Nostocaceae. The record is from RNAcentral.